AUUACCCAUUUUGAACAUAGGCUAUGUCCUUUCUUCCGCUUUCGUGUUGCUGGUAGGUCGCAUGAAAUUUUUGAAAAACAAAUCCAUUUGAAUCACUAUAACUUUUUGUCAUCUUCUUUUAAUUUGUUAUUCUACAGUUGUAUUUUCAUCUCUUUCAGAUAAUAUAGCAAGAUGAGAGCAAAGGUAAGCAUGUAACUAAAUAUUUUUUAUCGAAUUAGUCUUGCACAUAAACAUGUCGGAUAACACGCAUUUACGUCCGACCAUUGAUGUAUGUUGUUUGUUACGGGGAGAAAGUUAAUUUGUGACACUUAGUGAAUUGCAACAUACUGCAAAUCAGAGUUCUAAUGAUAUGUGGCAAAACUGUUCGUGAUGUAUAAAUUUUAAUUUGAGGUCCUUGAACGUAAAACUUGGACCAUGUGGACUGCUGGUGCAGGAUGCGAAGCCGAAGUCCGUGGGUGUCUGUCAACACAUCUCGUGUCUUGUAGUAACCAAUUGUUCAGUAAUAUCUAAUAUAUUUAUUAUUCAUAUAAUAUUUACAAUGCGUGUGCUUAAAUUGAAUACUAAGAUAGCCUAGCAAUUCUAGAAAUUUUGACCCCCCCCCCUUUUCUGCCAGGUAAUGGCCAUAAUCAACGAACUGAUUACACUGCCAUCGUUUAGUGCGCAUUUAUAACUACCCCCUCCCCCAAAAAUUUUCAAUGGAAGCCAUAUAAUUUACAAAGUUGAAUUGUUUCACAUGUUUCAAAAGUAACUGGAUUUCCACCUUAUUGCUGAACCAAUUUUGAGUCGGGCAAGUACCAAAAAACUUCCCAAACCCAGCAUCUUUCAUAUUGGCUGUGGAACCUUGCAUGUACUGUAGCUCAUGGACAUGGGUCUGAAUGUUAUAUUUUUACUAUUAGAGCUUUUUCCCGUUCGAAACGUUUGGAAUUGCACUUAUUUUCCAAAAAUGUAUUGUCAAUAAUCCAUGCCAAUGAAACAACUCUCCACAAAAGACCAAAAUGAUGUAGCAAUUAUUAACUAUAGGUCACCCUAUGGCCUUCAACAAUAUAGUUUGUUUCGUUUGAUAUUUUUUCUAGGAUAUGACGUACCUAUGUAUGUUAGAGUAUUUAUUUCCUUAACAUUAUCUUUUUUACAUUGGUAAACCUCCGCCGAUUUUGUUCAGCCACAUUGAAUCUCGUUAUGACGUCAUUUAUUUGUUGAGUGGUAAAAUUUUAUAUCAAGUUUACAUUGGACUUCUCUUUUUCAGUGGCGUAAGAAGCGUAUGAGGAGGUUGAAGCGUAAAAGGAGGAAGAUGAGGGCAAGGUAAUUAUAUUAGCUUGUAUAAGUAGUGAUUUAAUUUGGUCCUGCUGAAAAAGGUUAUAAAUAAGAACUUGAGAAGCUGUCAAUAUUUCAGGUUGGAGCCUAUUUCUAUAAUUUUGUUAUAAUUAUACCCCCGCUUUGAAAAAAAGGAGGUAUACUGUUUUACCUCUGUCUGUCCUUCCGUCAGUCCAUCCGUCCCAUGAAUAUUUUUCGUCACAUUUUUCUCAGGAACUACAAUACAAGGAUUUCUGAAAUUUGGUGUAAGGGUUAAUAUAAGUCAGGUAUACCGUGUGAUGCGUUUUCAGAUUCAUCACUCGACAACUUCCUGUUUACCGAACACUUGCAUAUUUUUACACAAUUGAUAUUAUCCACUUGCGGCGGGGGUAUCAUCAGUGAGCAGUAGCUCGCAGUUUCACUUGUUUGUCUUAAAAGUAGUAGUACAACACACUAUAUAAAUAUUGAGAAAGUGCAGGUGGUACUUUUUUCUCCUCUCCUAUAUUGUCUAAAGAAAUGCACUGUGAACUAUCUGGACCAUUUCAAAAGAUCAAUACACCUUUUCGCUAAAUUAGUCCUUUCCAGGGGAAAUAGUUACCAAGACAAAUUGCUGAUGAGAUGGUUGAACAAAACUAAAGUCAUCAUCAAUGAGCUGAGAAAAGAGUGGCCAUUUUUAAAUUUUGCUAGUUGAAAGAACGAAUUUUAAGCUCCACCUAGGACCAUUUACUUAUUCCGAUUGUGGAUCUGUCCGCCCUGCUCAAGUUUUUGGUCAUGGUACUUUUUUUUUGAGGUUACACAUCUACCAUUUGACAUGAUUAUUAUGAUUUUAAUGUCAAAUCAGUAACAUUGAAAAUGAUGGUGUGAGUUUGGCAUUAGUGUUACAUGGACGAAUUCUUGUCAAUAGAUGAAUUAAGUCCAUGAAACUGUUUUGUUAGGGUAAACAAUGGUUAAAUGAUGCCUCUGAAUGAAUAGUUUGAGGCACGAUAUUUUGUGUGAACAAAGCCAACAAACUUCAAAUGGGAAUGUAGUGAAAAGGUGUAUAUCAAUGGAACGUGGAUAACAUAACUUGUCAAACAAGAACAGAUUUUCAACAUUCACUUUCGUUAUAAACUUACUUGGUUCAGUAGGGAAGUAGCCGCAAAUCCAGUCAAUUUUGUGUCAUUUCCUUCAUUUGUUGUGUAUUCAUUUGUCCUGUGAAGAACGAGAACAAAAUGAUACAACAAUUCGUCAUAACAGACCAGAUGACAGAAUUUAAUAACAAUGGUCACCGUCAGACUUUCAACAAUGAGCUAAGCCCAUAUCACAGUCUACUAUAAAAGGUCCCGAAAUAACUAAUGUAAAUGAGAUAAAACUGACGGCCCAAUUUAUGUAAAAAAUAAUGAAUGAAAAUGAAAUAUGUAACAGCAACAAACGAGGACCACUGAAUAAUAGGCUCCUGACUUUGGACAGGCACUUGCAGAAUAAGGCAGGUUUAAACAUGCUCCCAAUCAUGUGACAAGUGGUUCAUCAGAACAGUACAAGACAUUCCUGAAAAAAUCUCAAAUGAAAACAUCAUUUUGCCUGUUCCAACCCCCAAGUUUCUUGAUUUGUAGUCUUAGACCUUUAAAGUAAUUGAAAUGAAGGCUGAACAUGAUUAAAUUUUGUUUAACUGUACAAUAUUGUGAUUGAAAAUAUGAAACAAUGUUAUACUCCACUUAAUUGCAUUCUGUUUUGUCAUUGAACGCAAGAUAUCCAUAAGUAUUAACGUUAUUAGGGUGAAUGGUUUAUCAACUACAUUUGUUUACUUUCAGGUCUAAGUAGAUGUUGCCAUCGUUUAUUUUUAAGACUCCAAUUGAUGUGUUCAGCUAUAGACCAAGGUAUUGCAACCAUGUGUUCAGUUGAGAACUCCUAUUGAUGAUGAUGAAGAUGAUGAAAAUGAUGAUGAUGAAUUAGCGUGGUCACGUGAUCAAAAGUCUUAGUUUGACCAGGUACCAUGCUUUCGACUGAAAACAUGGCUGUUUUAACAACAACAUGUUGUCAUGGUGAACCAACACGACUUACAACAACAGCAACACAAAGCAACAACAACAUUUUGUCAUCCAGGGCUCAACUUUGGGAACUAUCUUUGAGGAAGAAAGAGGAAGAAGAAGAAUUGGUGUCGACUGCGUGGAAGUCUCCAUGGUGACCAGGCUAGGCAUCUGUAUGGUAACCACUGUUGAGGCUUUGGUGGCUCCUCUAUGAGAACAUAUUUUGUAAUAUCUUAGACUUGGCAAUGAUCCAAUUUAUCCAAAGACAUGAAAUUGCAUGGAUUGAAUUGUUCAGUUGAGGUUUUGAAAAUAUUAAAAGAAAAAAAUCUAAA
Molecule: long non-coding RNA, 3628 nt
Filed under: Mytilus galloprovincialis (Mediterranean mussel)
Lineage: Eukaryota; Metazoa; Mollusca; Bivalvia; Mytilida; Mytilidae
Source: RNAcentral